GCCGGGCGCGGUGGCGCAUGCCUGUAGUCCCAGCUACUCGGGAGGCUGAGGUGGGAGGAUCACUUGAGCCCAGGAGUUCUGGGCUGUAGUGCACUAUGCCAAUCAGGUGUCCGCACUAAGUUCGGCAUCAAUAUGGUGAUCUCCCGGGAGCGGGGGACCACCAGGUUGCCUAAGGAGGGGUGAACUGGCCCAGGUCGGAAACGGAGCAGGUCAAAACUCCCAUGCUGAUCAGUAGUGGGAUCGCGCCUGUGAAUAGCCACUGCACUCCAGCCUGGGCAACAUAGCGAGACCCUGUCUCA
This 299-nucleotide signal recognition particle RNA is filed under the name Aotus nancymaae (Ma's night monkey). Its description in RNAcentral is "Metazoan signal recognition particle RNA (ENSANAG00000007023.1)". It matches the Rfam family "Metazoan signal recognition particle RNA". From Rfam's summary of the family: The signal recognition particle (SRP) is a universally conserved ribonucleoprotein. It is involved in the co-translational targeting of proteins to membranes. The eukaryotic SRP consists of a 300-nucleotide 7S RNA and six proteins: SRPs 72, 68, 54, 19, 14, and 9. The record is from RNAcentral. Lineage: Eukaryota; Metazoa; Chordata; Mammalia; Primates; Aotidae.